RNAcentral lists this ribosomal RNA (253 nucleotides) under uncultured bacterium. RNAcentral's name for it is "partial 16S ribosomal RNA". It matches the Rfam family "Bacterial small subunit ribosomal RNA", at positions 524 to 776 of the family's 1533-position model. The record is from RNAcentral.
GACGUAGGGCGCAAGCGUUGUCCGGAUUUAUUGGGCGUAAAGAGCUCGUAGGCGGCUUGUCGCGUCGACCGUGAAAACCCGCAGCUCAACUGCGGGCUUGCGGUCGAUACGGGCAGGCUCGAGUUCGGUAGGGGAGACUGGAAUUCCUGGUGUAGCGGUGAAAUGCGCAGAUAUCAGGAGGAACACCGGUGGCGAAGGCGGCUCACUGGACCGUUGUUGACGCUGAGGUGCGAAAGCGUGGGGAGCAAACAGG